UGGGGAAUUGUUCACAAUGGGCGCAAGCCUGAUGACGCAACGCCGCGUGGGGGAUGAAGGUCUUCGGAUCGUAAACCCCUGUCGAAUGGGACGAAAGACUCGCGAGUGAAUACUUCGCGAGAGUGACGGUACCGUUAAAGGAAGCCACGGCUAACUCUGUGCCAGCAGCCGCGGUAAUACAGAGGUGGCAAGCGUUGUUCGGAAUUACUGGGCGUAAAGGGCGCGUAGGCGGCCCUCUAAGUCAGACGUGAAAUCCCCCGGCUUAACCUGGGAACUGCGUCUGAUACUGGAGGGCUUGAGUAUGGGAGAGGGAUGUAGAAUUCCAGGUGUAGCGGUGAAAUGCGUAGAUAUCUGGAGGAAUACCGGUGGCGAAGGCGGCAUCCUGGACCAUUACUGACGCUGAGGCGCGAAAGCUAGGGGAGCAAACGGGAUUAGAUACCCAAGUAGUCCCUG
This 453-nucleotide ribosomal RNA is filed under the name uncultured bacterium. RNAcentral's name for it is "bacterial SSU rRNA". It matches the Rfam family "Bacterial small subunit ribosomal RNA", at positions 355 to 799 of the family's 1533-position model. The record is from RNAcentral.